This 2937-nucleotide unclassified non-coding RNA is filed under the name Dermacentor andersoni. Its description in RNAcentral is "pleckstrin homology domain-containing family M member 2-like". The record is from RNAcentral. Lineage: Eukaryota; Metazoa; Arthropoda; Arachnida; Ixodida; Ixodidae.
GCAGGGGGACGCUGGUCUCGGAAAUCAAGUUUUGUUUUGUUGUGCGACAUGCGGAAAGAAAAAUAAGCGUCACUUAAAAUCGGCUGUAAGCACUUUAGGACUUGUAGAUAAAACUAUCGUGAAGUUAUAAAUGUACCACUCGAACGCUCCUGAGGCCAGCGGGGCGUCUGUUAGCUCAGAUAACGUCUGUCAUAUAAUGCACGAGCGUGGCUCGAAAGUAACCGUCUCGGAAAGUGGUGCGGAGAGUUCGAUUGAUGUUCAGUUGGUGAGCCUUGCGCCGUGUCCCGCCUAGAGAGAGUAGUUUCCAAAACACCCGGAAGCUGUUGUACAUGUGAAAGUGGUGUUAGUCGAGCGGCUGCUUUGGUGUGUCACUUAUGUUGUUCACUUGGCAAAUGUUGACCGCAGUGUUUGCUGUCAAAUGAUCACUUAGGCGCCAUGUCGCGAUUUGGGAUCGUUCCUGUUUUCGAUGUUAAGCAGCUCGGCUCUUCCGACCACGACGCAAAAAACUGUCUUCUGACAGCGCUUCAAGAGGCUAUAAAGCAGGUGCAGAAUGUCGCAGAGCCUGCUGGCACCGGUGCUUUGACAGAAGACACUCCAGAAGCUUGCUGGUUAUGCGAACACCUUGACAGGGUGCUUCUCUAUGGUUUGCAAGAGCCCCAGUGGGGCUAUUGGCCAUGGGUGCGCAAGUUCACGCACCCUGCAGCCCAGCAAGAAAUUGCUUCCUUGCCGUCAGUGUCCACAGAUCUUGGAUAUGGCCGUGCUUGGCUCUUGGCUAGCCUGAAUGGGGGACUGUUGGAGAGCUAUAUGCUGUCCUUCCGCCAGAAUUUGCGGCUGCUGCGCAAAGGCUACUCAUCGAAUUCUCUCCUUAGAGAUCCACAAUACUUGGACCUGCUUGCCACCUUGCUGUCAGGAUUGGAACACAUUCCUUUCAGCCUGAACCAGAACAAUGCACUAUUAGAUGACACUAAUGCUUGGCCAAAGAUCAUAUCAUAUCGUCAGUCUCUGCUCCAUACGGAUGAAGAUGUUGUGGUGCUACCUCAGGGAGUUUCUGUGAUGACCAUAUCAUCAACAGACAGCUCGACCAGCUCUCGUGAGGAUGACUCGGGCAUCCAGAGUGUUCGUGUCUCUUGUGCCACGCUGUCUUCUCUGGCAUCACCUGCGGAGGAAGUGCAUGUCCCCGAGACUUGUGGCUGUGCUGAAUGUGCUGCCUUUCUUGAUCGAGAACACAUUCGGCGCAUUAUCAACCUAGACGUUGUUCCACCAUCAUCUGCCGACUCCAGUGAAGCAGUUGAUUUAGAACUUGAGGUGACACGAGUUGUGAUAACACGACGCAAAGGAGGCCACAGUACUGCUAAACCAAGAACGCUGUUGUCAACAUUUGGAAGUGAAGGUGUAACGACAGUGAUAUUGGAAGCUGGCGAGGCAACGAAUGUUGAUGGCAAAGUGUGUGCUCCACUGAGGCGGGCACUGGUUGAAGCUGAAGGGCAGCCUCUACACUCCUCGCAAGGGGCCCCAUUCAGCGAGAAGGGCAGGACUGGUGUUGCAUGUUUUGCUGCGAUGACUGAGUCGACUGGUUCCAUGAGAGACUCUGGAUGUUAUGCAUUUGUGGAAAGUGACAGAGGCGCACCAGAUGGCUGUGAAGGAGAGGUUGAUGAAGUUAGGCAGGAAGGGAGGACAACAGAUGACUCUGAACAGCAUGAGGAUGUGUUUUCCAUCUAUGAUUGUAGUGGCAAGUGCACCUCAGAUGUGACAUGUGAUGACAGUGGUGACAAUGGCUCUGCUACAGAAGGAGAGGCAGCGGAGUCUUCAAAGUUUGUUGAACAAGAACUGCUCGUAGAAACAAGCAAGAAAGAAGGAUUUGAUAUCAAGGUAGAAAAUAAUGCUCUCCUCCAUCUUACACUAGAGAUAUUUGAAUCAGAUGAUGAGAAAUUCUACAAGAUGUUUCUGGCAUGGAAGUGCUGUGAUGGAAAAGGACUUUUGGAGCCUAUUUAUGUUCUGAUGACAAACAAAUUUUUGUACAUACUUCGACCGAGGGCUGAGGUGAACCUGUUUGCCAGAGAUUUUUCUGUGCGCCUCAUUGAAGUCAAGGUGGUCACAGUCUGGCUGAACUACCAGGGCUUCUCCCUGACUUGCAAUUCUGGGAAAAAGGCCGAUGUGGCCACUGGCCAUGCUGAGCUAACGAGGAAUAUUCUCUCAAGCCUGGAUCUAGCCGUUCGGAGAACUCACAAUGGAGUCAAGUGCCUUCCAUCAAUAGUGAGUCACUGCUCUGAACAGCUAGAUGCCAUGAAGAAGCUCUUGGCACACGAAUUGAAAUCCCAAGAGCCCAGAAACAGUGCUCUGUACAGCUGCAGCGUGGACCGUACCGACGUGCCUCAGGAUGGUGGGCUUGUUGUAAAGGACUACCGUUUGGUGCACUGGGAGAAGUGCAUACAGUCCUCACCGGGGGAUUACGCUUGUGGGCCCAGCGUGGGCAGUCCCCUUAUGUGGAGGUUCCUCGAAGGGAAUGCCAGGCGAGAGAGGAAGAAGCAUUGGGAAGCUGGCUACUUCCUGUUGCGGGCUGGAGUCCUGUACAGGUUCUCAAACCAAGGAGACACUAUACCAAGUGCCACUUACCUUUGGGGUCCACUGUGGUUCCUGUCAGGCAGUGUCAAAUGUUGGGCGACCACAUGCCUUGCAACUGAACCUGGCUCCCUCUGGUGGUGCCUGCCUUCAGCUUGCUGCUUCCAAUGAGGCGGAAAUGGAGCGCUGGGUUUAUGCGCUCACUGAAGCAGGGCAGGCCUCCUUCUGUGGGUCUGGAUCUAUGGGUGGCAUGGUGGCCUGCUGCCUAGUGUUGGUGGGUGACCUUGUGUUGACCUUGGUUGAGGGGUCAAGAGUCUUGGGUGUAGGAGUCAUUAUUGACCUGAGUGUAGUCCGCAGUGAGAACAACUUCUGCAUUAU